This 198-nucleotide ribosomal RNA is filed under the name uncultured bacterium. RNAcentral's name for it is "partial 16S ribosomal RNA". It matches the Rfam family "Bacterial small subunit ribosomal RNA", at positions 326 to 539 of the family's 1533-position model. The record is from RNAcentral.
ACGCUCGACACCUACGGCAGGCAGCAGUGGGGAAUAUUGCACAAUGGGGGAAACCCUGAUGCAGCAACGCCGCGUGAAGGAAGACGGUUUUCGGAUUGUAAACUUCUGUUCUUAGUGAAGAUAGUGACGGUAGCUAAGGAGCAAGCCACGGCUAACUACGUGCCAGUAGCCGCGGUAAUCUGAGCGGGCUGGCAAGGC